Molecule: ribosomal RNA, 611 nt
Filed under: uncultured bacterium
Lineage: Bacteria
Description: bacterial SSU rRNA
Rfam family: Bacterial small subunit ribosomal RNA
Source: RNAcentral
CCUACGGGAGGCAGCAGUGAGGAAUAUUGGACAAUGGGCGCAAGCCUGAUCCAGCCAUGCCGCGUGCAGGAAGAAGCAUCUAUGGUGUGUAAACUGCUUUUGUACAGGAAGAAACACUCCCUCGUGAGGGAGCUUGACGGUACUGUAAGAAUAAGGACCGGCUAACUCCGUGCCAGCAGCCGCGGUAAUACGGAGGGUCCGAGCGUUAUCCGGAAUCAUUGGGUUUAAAGGGUCCGUAGGCGGUUUAAUAAGUCAGUGGUGAAAUCUGGUCGCUCAACGAUCAAACGGCCAUUGAUACUGUUAGACUUGAAUUAUAAGGAAGUAACUAGAAUAUGUAGUGUAGCGGUGAAAUGCUUAGAUAUUACAUGGAAUACCAAUUGCGAAGGCAGGUUACUACUUAUGGAUUGACGCUGAUGGACGAAAGCGUGGGGAGCGAACAGGAUUAGAUACCCUGGUAGUCCACGCCGUAAACGAUGGAUACUAGCUGUUCGGAGCAAUCUGAGUGGCUAAGCGAAAGUGAUAAGUAUCCCACCUGGGGAGUACGUUCGCAAGAAUGAAACUCAAAGGAAUUGACGGCGNGAGAGAGACGACGACGACGACGAGGGAGGAGG